AGUGAACGCUGGCGGUAGGCCUAACACAUGCAAGUCGAACGGCAGCACAGUAAGAGCUUGCUCUUACGGGUGGCGAGUGGCGGACGGGUGAGGAAUACAUCGGAAUCUACUUUUUCGUGGGGGAUAACGUAGGGAAACUUACGCUAAUACCGCAUACGACCUACGGGUGAAAGCAGGGGAUCUUCGGACCUUACGCGAUUGAAUGAGCCGAUGUCGGAUUAGCUAGUUGGCGGGGUAAAGGCCCACCAAGGCGACGAUCCGUAGCUGGUCUGAGAGGAUGAUCAGCCACACUGGAACUGAGACACGGUCCAGACUCCUACGGGAGGCAGCAGUGGGGAAUAUUGGACAAUGGGCGCAAGCCUGAUCCAGCCAUACCGCGUGGGUGAAGAAGGCCUUCGGGUUGUAAAGCCCUUUUGUUGGCAAAGAAAAGCAGCAGGUUAAUACCCCGCUGUUCUGACGGUACCCAAAGAAUAAGCACCGGCUAACUUCGUG
Molecule: ribosomal RNA, 492 nt
Filed under: uncultured bacterium
Lineage: Bacteria
Description: partial 16S ribosomal RNA
Rfam family: Bacterial small subunit ribosomal RNA
Source: RNAcentral